This 403-nucleotide ribosomal RNA is filed under the name Actinomycetes bacterium. RNAcentral's name for it is "Actinobacteria bacterium partial 16S ribosomal RNA". It matches the Rfam family "Bacterial small subunit ribosomal RNA", at positions 355 to 776 of the family's 1533-position model. Lineage: Bacteria; Bacillati; Actinomycetota; Actinomycetes. The record is from RNAcentral.
UGGGGAAUAUUGGACAAUGGGCGCAAGCCUGAUCCAGCCAUGCCGCGUGAGUGAUGAAGGCCUAGGGUUGUAAAGCUCUUUCACCGGUGAAGAUAAUGACGGUAACCGGAGAAGAAGCCCCGGCUAACUUCGUGCCAGCAGCCGCGGUAAUACGAAGGGGGCUAGCUUUGUUCGGAUUUACUGGGCGUAAAGCGAACGUAGGCGGACUAUUAAGUCAGGGGUGAAAUCCCGGGGCUCAACCCCGGAACUGCCUUUGAUACUGGUAGUCUUGAGUUCGAGAGAGGUGAGUGGAAUUCCGAGUGUAGAGGUGAAAUUCGUAGAUAUUCGGAGGAACACCAGUGGCGAAGGCGGCUCACUGGCUCGAUACUGACGCUGAGGUGCGAAAGCGUGGGGAGCAAACAGG